Molecule: transfer RNA, 65 nt
Filed under: Cheironitis hoplosternus
Lineage: Eukaryota; Metazoa; Arthropoda; Insecta; Coleoptera; Scarabaeidae
Description: tRNA-Glu
Source: RNAcentral
AUUUAUAUAGUUUAAAAAAAACAUUACAUUUUCAAUGUAAAAAUAAAUAAUUUAUUUUGUAAAUA